AUGGCUGUCGUCAGCUCGUGUCGUGAGAUGUUGGGUUAAGUCCCGCAACGAGCGCAACCCCCGUCCUUAGUUGCUACCAUUUAGUUGAGCACGCUAGGGAGACUGCCGGUGAUAAGCCGCGAGGAAGGUGGGGAUGACGUCAAGUCCUCAUGGCCCUUACGGGCUGGGCUACACACGUGCUACAAUGGCGGUGACAAUGGGACGCUAAGGGGCAACCCUUCGCAAAUCUCAAAAAGCCGUCUCAGUUCGGAUUGGGCUCUGCAACUCGAGCCCAUGAAGUUGGAAUCGCUAGUAAUCGUGGAUCAGCAUGCCACGGUGAAUACGUUCCCGGGCCUUGUACACACCGCCCGUCACACCAUGGGAGUUGGUUUUACCUGAAGACGGUGCGCUAACCGCAAGGAGGCAGCCGGCCACGGUAGGGUCAGCGACUGGGGUGAAGUCGUAACAAGGUAGCCGUAGGGGAACCUGCGGCUGGAUCACCUCCUUUCUAAGGAUGGUUCUUCAAGAGCUUGCUCUUAUCGAACCUCUUCAGAAACAUCAGGGGCCAGCAAUUUCAGGAUUGUUGAGCUCCAUUGGCGGGAUUUCGCCGUCUUCGUUUCUCUUUCUUCGCGGACGAACACGCGCCAGGGGCUGCGCUUGUGCUGAUCAUCUGCUGCAGGCAGAUGCUCGCGAGCAGGUUCCCUAUCCUUUUUAAGGAAAAGCGUUAGGGGCUUGUAGCUCAGUUGGUUAGAGCGCGCGCUUGAUAAGCGUGAGGUCGGAAGUUCAAGUCUUCCCAGGCCCACCACGCUUCGCCUUAGGCUACGCGUGGCGCAGCCACGCAAGGCGAAGCGAAGUGUGCCCGGCGAAGCCCGUAAAGCGCGUUUACGCGCGUCUUUGACGCGCUAUGGGGCGAAGACGGGCCGACCUGACCGUUUCAAGAAAAGGGGCCAUAGCUCAGCUGGGAGAGCGCGUGCUUUGCAAGCAUGAGGUCGUCGGUUCGAUCCCGCCUGGCUCCACCACGCUUCGCCCUUCGGGCUACGCGUGGCGCGGCCACGCAACGGCCGAAGGGCGAAGCGUGCCCGGCGUAGCCGAAGGCGAAGACGGGCUGACCGAUGGUCGCUUGACUGGUCGCCAAAAACAUCGUCCGCGAAAACAUCACUUCGCAUGGCGUGUCCUACGGGACGCGCGUGCGGGAUUUCUGACAUCGUAAAGAGGAGAUCGAUCCGGGUUUGGGAUCUGCGAAGCAAUUCGCUGAUACCAAUCACUAUCUCCGGGACGUUUCGGCGCUCGUUCAUCGCAAGAUGAGCGAGUUGUAAAUGUCCUUGUUGGUGAAGCUUGACCGCCUCAUCAUCGGGUUGAUCUUACGAAGCAAGCUGGUCUUUCUAAUCAGUGUCCAGCCGCAUGCAGCAUUCAUCGAGGGUGCGCGCUUUCAGACUUCGGUCUUGAAGCAAGUGUGCGGACUACAUUCUGCCGAGUGUGUGGACAUUGAUAAUGAGAGCAAUCAAGUGCCUUAAGGGUGUUCGGUGGAUGCCUUGGCGCUGAGAGGCGAUGAAGGACGUGCUACGCUGCGAUAAGCCGUGGGGAGCUGCGAAGAAGCUUUGAUCCACGGAUUUCCGAAUGGGGAAACCCGG
This 1610-nucleotide small RNA is filed under the name uncultured Bradyrhizobiaceae bacterium. RNAcentral's name for it is "bacterial SSU rRNA". The stretch from base 1 to 487 matches the Rfam family "Bacterial small subunit ribosomal RNA", at positions 1045 to 1533 of the family's 1533-position model. The record is from RNAcentral. Lineage: Bacteria; Pseudomonadati; Pseudomonadota; Alphaproteobacteria; Hyphomicrobiales; Nitrobacteraceae.